This 253-nucleotide ribosomal RNA is filed under the name uncultured bacterium. RNAcentral describes it as "partial 16S ribosomal RNA". It matches the Rfam family "Bacterial small subunit ribosomal RNA", at positions 524 to 776 of the family's 1533-position model. The record is from RNAcentral.
UACGUCGGGGGCAAGCGUUGUCCGGAUUUACUGGGUGUAAAGGGCGCGCAGGCGGAAUAACAAGUCAGAGGUGAAAUCCUACAGCUUAACUGUAGAACUGCCUUUGAUACUGUUAUUCUUGAGUUCGGAAGAGAGAGACGGAAUUCCAGGUGUAGUGGUGAAAUACGUAGAUAUCUGGAAGAACACCAGUUGCGAAGGCGGUCUCUUGGUCCGAUACUGACGAUGAGGCGCGAGAGCGUGGGGAGCAAACAGG